GGAAGCACUUCCCUUUAGAGUG
RNAcentral lists this microRNA (22 nucleotides) under Macaca mulatta (Rhesus monkey). Its description in RNAcentral is "Mml-Mir-430-P36b_3p* (star (passenger))". Lineage: Eukaryota; Metazoa; Chordata; Mammalia; Primates; Cercopithecidae. The record is from RNAcentral.